GCCAGGUGUGGUGGCGCACACCUGUAAUCCCAGCUACUCGGGAGGCUGAGGCAGGAGAAUCACUUGAACCCAGGAGAUGUAGGCUGCAGUGAGCCGAGAUUGUGGCACUGCACUCCAGCCUGGGCAACAGAGUGAGACUCUGUCAA
This 146-nucleotide non-coding RNA is filed under the name Homo sapiens (human). The record is from Rfam by way of RNAcentral. Lineage: Eukaryota; Metazoa; Chordata; Mammalia; Primates; Hominidae.